CUACGGGACGCUCCAGUGAGGAAUAUUGCACAAUGGGGGGAACCCUGAUGCAGUAACGCCGCGUGGAGGAUGACGCAUUUCGGUGUGUAAACUCCUUUUAUAUGUCAAGAAAAUGACGGUAGCAUAUAAAUAAGCACCGGCUAACUCCGUGCCAGCAGCCGCGGUAAUACGGAGGGUGCAAGCGUUACUCGGAAUCACUGGGCGUAAAGGACGCGUAGGCGGGUUGGAAAGUCAGGUGUGAAAUCCUACAGCUUAACUGUAGAACUGCACUUGAAACUUCUAAUCUAGAGUAUGGGAGGGGGAGAUGGAAUUAGUGGUGUAGGGGUAAAAUCCGUAGAUAUCACUAGGAAUACCUAAAGCGAAGGCGAUCUCCUGGAACAUUACUGACGCUAAGGCGUGAAAGCGUGGGGAGCAAACAGGAUUAGAUACCCCAGUAGUC
RNAcentral lists this ribosomal RNA (439 nucleotides) under uncultured bacterium. Its description in RNAcentral is "partial 16S ribosomal RNA". It matches the Rfam family "Bacterial small subunit ribosomal RNA", at positions 339 to 795 of the family's 1533-position model. The record is from RNAcentral.